RNAcentral lists this transfer RNA (88 nucleotides) under Patescibacteria group bacterium. Its description in RNAcentral is "tRNA-Ser". It matches the Rfam family "tRNA". Rfam says of the family: Transfer RNA (tRNA) molecules are approximately 80 nucleotides in length. The record is from RNAcentral.
GGAGAGGUCGCAUAGUGGCCUAGUGCACUCGCUUGGAAAGCGGGCAUACCGCAAGGUAUCGCGGGUUCAAAUCCCGCCCUCUCCGCCA